RNAcentral lists this ribosomal RNA (392 nucleotides) under uncultured bacterium. RNAcentral describes it as "bacterial SSU rRNA". It matches the Rfam family "Bacterial small subunit ribosomal RNA", at positions 618 to 1009 of the family's 1533-position model. The record is from RNAcentral.
UGUAUGCGGUUGAAACUGUAUAUCUAGAGUACUGGAGAGGUAAGCGGAAUUCCCGGUGUAGCGGUGAAAUGCGUAGAUAUCGGGAAGAACACCAGUGGCGAAGGCGGCUUACUGGCCAGUAACUGACGCUGAGGUGCGAAAGCCAGGGGAGCGAACCGGAUUAGAUACCCGGGUAGUCCUGGCCGUAAACGAUGAAUGCUAGGUGUGGGUGGGUGAACCAUCCGUGCCGGAGUUAACGCGAUAAGCAUUCCGCCUGGGGAUUACGACCGCAAGGUUGAAACUCAAAAGAAUUGACGGGGGCCCGCACAAGCGGUGGAGCACGUGGUUUAAUUCGAUGCAAACCGAAGAACCUUACCUGGAUUUGACAUGUACGUUUUAUUGAGCUGAAAGGC